This 199-nucleotide ribosomal RNA is filed under the name uncultured bacterium. RNAcentral describes it as "partial 16S ribosomal RNA". It matches the Rfam family "Bacterial small subunit ribosomal RNA", at positions 328 to 539 of the family's 1533-position model. The record is from RNAcentral.
ACGCUCGACACCUACGGGAGGCAGCAGGUGGGGAAUAUUGCACAAUGGGGGAAACCCUGAUGCAGCGACGCCGCGUGGAGGAAGAAGGUCUUCGGAUUGUAAACUCCUGUUGUUGGGGAAAAAGAGGAUGGUACCCAACAAGGAAGUGACGGCUAACUACGUGUCAGCAGCCGCGGUAAUCUGAGCGGGCUGGCAAGGC